RNAcentral lists this long non-coding RNA (2324 nucleotides) under Pan troglodytes (chimpanzee). Its description in RNAcentral is "lincRNA". Lineage: Eukaryota; Metazoa; Chordata; Mammalia; Primates; Hominidae. The record is from RNAcentral.
CUGUGACCCGGAGGCGCUGGGGCUGCCCUGGGCCGUCACGUGCGAGAAAUCGUCUCACCCCAGCCAGUGUGAGGGAGUGAGAGCAAAAGAAAGUUUUGAUAGCAGCGUACGAUUUAUAUUCAGCUGUAUGCUGGACAGGUCCAACUUGGCAUUUCUUGGCUGUAUCUCUGAAGGAAAGUCAUCUUAAUCUCUAUGAGCCUCCAUUUCCUCAGCUGUAAAAUGGGAAGAUCUUCCUCACACUGCUGUGGCCCAGAACCAUAUCCUGCUCCACAAGCCUCGUCCUUGGCAAGAAGUUGCACCUGCCCAGAGAGAAAACCUUUUGAAACUGGCACAAAGGCACUGGAGAGACUGGCAGGGCCCCCUACUUGACGAUCUGGCUCAUCCAUCUGCACACUGACCACGCUAAGAGCUGUCUGCAGUGAUGGAAACCUUCUCUAGCUGUGCUGUCCUCUAUAGUGGCACUAGCUGCCUGUGGCUACUGAGCACUUCAACUGUGGCUGCAGAGACUAUGUUAAAUUGUAUUUAAUCAUAAUUAAUUUAAUUGUAAACAACUACAUGUGGCUAGUGGUUUCUGUACUGGGCACUGCAGGUGCACAUUUCCUGCCUGGCCAUGGACAGUAAGCUCCGUAAGAGACUAAUUGUGCCUGGUUUGCUUAUAGGCUUAUCCUCAGCACCUGCACCAGCCUAGAAUAUGAUUGGCACUCUAUUAAUUAAAAGUUCCCAGGUAAAUGAAUUAGUGGAUUCUCUGUUUCCUCCACUAUGCCACAACCUCCUUAAGGGCAGAGAUGGUGUCUUCAAAAAAAAAAAAAUUCUGGUCAAAAACACAUAAGAUCUACCACCUUCACCAUUGUUGUGUCCAGUUCAGUAGUAUUAACUACACUUACAUUGUGAUACAACAAAAGAUUGUGUCUUUUUACAUUCUUAGGACCCAGCACAGUGUCUGGCACAUAAUCUUAGUAAACACUGGCAGAGCACAUGCCUUUGCCAAGGCCAGAACAGAGGUUCAGUGCCAUCCAUUACCACCCUUUCACACAUCCACUGGGGCUUUAAAAACAACCUGGAAUGAAAGCUGUUGAGUCUAGAGAAAUGGGCUACAAAGAAGGUUUACAAGAUAAUCUAUUAAGAAUAGGGAAUACAGGCUGGGCACGGCGGCUCACACCUGUAAUCCCAGCACUUUGGGAGGCUGAGGUGGGUGGAUCAUUUGAGGUCAGGAGUUCGAGACCAGCCUGGCCAAUAUGGUGAAAUCCUGUCUCUACCAAAAAUUAUCCAGGCAUGGUGGUGCGUGCCUGUAGUCCCAGCUACUUGGGAGGCUGAGGCAUGAGCAUCGCUUGAACCCGGGAGGCAGAGGUUGCAGUGAGCCGAGAUCGCGCCACUACACCCCAGCCUGGGUGACAGAGCAAGACUCCGUCUCAAAAAAAUAAAAAAAUCUAAAAUAAAGCUUAAUACACAUGACAUAUGGAUUGGCAGUCACACAUAAAUAUGAUUGAUAAGGAUACAAAUAUUUGGAGGUGCUGCCUGACCAUCUGUUGCUGAUUAUGUGGAGAUCACUUGUCUAGGACCCUGAGAUAGACUGCUGUUUCUAACUCUGCCAAACACGGUCUCUCCCACCCUCCAGACACUUUCUUCCUUCAGUUCAGGGAACCCUCAAUACACAGUAAGAAUGAAGAGGUUGCAGGUCUGAGCUUGAGGAGGACUGGACUAAAAGGAGUUUAGCCCUGCCAGGGCAUUCUGAGGACUGUGAAGAUCUGGAAUAUUGGCCACAGGCAUCUAUGUAUUUGAAUCAUAUCUAUUUUUGAGCUCACUCCUAGCAGAGGAGUCAAAACUUAUGUUCUGGCCCCCAGGUACAUUUCCAGUCUCUUACUCAUAAAAUUGUGACAUACCCCCAGGGGUGCCCAAAGGGGUUUGUGAAUCAAGAUAGUUUGAGGAGAAUCGAUUUUCUGAUCCUCAGUUUUUCUAUGCUCUUUUUCCUAAAAGCGAUAUUCCUAAAAAGGCAUCCAAGACAAGGCAUCCCCUUUCCCAUUUGCUGGGGAAGACAGCUUUACAAGAGAAAGCUGCCCCUCUCACCCAUGUGACCGUCACCCCCCACUCUGGGGCACUGCCCUAGGGGUAGAAAUCUCCAAGGCAUCAAACAAAGUGACUCCUGGGGGUCAAGUGACAGAGGAGCAAGUCUUUCUGCAAGUCAAGUGGUUUCCAGCUCUGCUUUCAGCAAAAUUGAAAGAGGCACUAAUCAAAUUGCCAGCGGAUCAUAAAAAAAAUUUUGAUAAUAAUGUUAUUAGGCAUAUAACUUGGAAGAAGUUCAAAUAAUUGAAUGGCAUCCUCAUAAC